RNAcentral lists this ribosomal RNA (1160 nucleotides) under Enterobacter hormaechei. Its description in RNAcentral is "bacterial SSU rRNA". It matches the Rfam family "Bacterial small subunit ribosomal RNA", at positions 72 to 1233 of the family's 1533-position model. Lineage: Bacteria; Pseudomonadati; Pseudomonadota; Gammaproteobacteria; Enterobacterales; Enterobacteriaceae. The record is from RNAcentral.
GAAGCAGCUGCUGCUUCGCUGACGAGUGGCGGACGGGUGAGUAAUGUCUGGGAAACUGCCUGAUGGAGGGGGAUAACUACUGGAAACGGUAGCUAAUACCGCAUAACGUCGCAAGACCAAAGAGGGGGACCUUCGGGCCUCUUGCCAUCGGAUGUGCCCAGAUGGGAUUAGCUAGUAUGUGGGGUAACGGCUCACCUAGGCGACGAUCCCUAGCUGGUCUGAGAGGAUGACCAGCCACACUGGAACUGAGACACGGUCCAGACUCCUACGGGAGGCAGCAGUGGGGAAUAUUGCACAAUGGGCGCAAGCCUGAUGCAGCCAUGCCGCGUGUAUGAAGAAGGCCUUCGGGUUGUAAAGUACUUUCAGCGGGGAGGAAGGCGAUAAGGUUAAUAACCUUGUCGAUUGACGUUACCCGCAGAAGAAGCACCGGCUAACUCCGUGCCAGCAGCCGCGGUAAUACGGAGGGUGCAAGCGUUAAUCGGAAUUACUGGGCGUAAAGCGCACGCAGGCGGUCUGUCAAGUCGGAUGUGAAAUCCCCGGGCUCAACCUGGGAACUGCAUUCGAAACUGGCAGGCUAGAGUCUUGUAGAGGGGGGUAGAAUUCCAGGUGUAGCGGUGAAAUGCGUAGAGAUCUGGAGGAAUACCGGUGGCGAACGCGGCCCCCUGGACAAAGACUGACGCUCAUGUGCGAAAGCGUGGAGAGCAAACAGGAUUAGAUACCCUGGUAGUCCACGCCGUACACGAUGUCGACUUGGAGGUUGUGCCCUUGACGCGUGUCUUCCGGAGCUAACGCGUUAAGUCGACCGCCUGGAGAGUACGGCCGCAGGUUAACACUCAAAUGAAUUGACGGGCGCCCGCACAAGCGGUGGAGCAUGUGGUUUAAUUCGAUGCAACGCGAAGACCUUACCUACUCUUGACAUCCAGAGAACUUACCAGAGAUGCUUUGGUGCCUUCGGGAACUCUGAGACAGUGCUGCAUGGCUGUCUCAUCUCGUGUUGUGAAAUGUUGGUUAACUCCCGCAACGAGCGCAACCCUUAUCCUUUGUUGCCAGCGGUUCGGCCGGGAACUCAAAGGAGACUGCCAGUGAUAACUGGAGGAAGGUGGGGAUGACGUCAAGUCAUCAUGGCCCUUACGAGUAGGGCUACACACGUGCUACAAUGG